Bos indicus x Bos taurus (hybrid cattle) is the source of this 390-nucleotide long non-coding RNA. NCBI's taxonomy places the organism in Eukaryota, Metazoa, Chordata, Mammalia, Artiodactyla, Bovidae. The record is from Ensembl.
CAGGGAGCCUUGAGAACAUUGCACUCAUCUGAUUGUUAGUGGUACUGGGACACAUCACACAUUUAGACAUAAUGAAGCGCUCUGAUACCAUCUCAGAUACGAGCAGCUCUGUGUCGUUGUGGAGACGCAUAAAGUGGUCCAGGUCCUUGAAAACAUGGUACUUGGAAGUCAUCUGAUUUCUGGAUUAAAUUGUAAGGAACCCAUGUUUUGCUGUAAAUGUGAUGUGGAAGAAAAAAAUUCAAAGGUAUCUUGCGGCUCAACUGAAACCAAACACAUCAACUAUGGAGAUAAUUCACCUCUUAAAACAGUGUCUUGACUCUGGCCCUUUCCAAGCCGUCUUCUGAGAAGAAAGGAAGUUUGCUUGUUCUCUGGGUUGCAGCCUCCGUCGCC